UUUACACAGACAGAAAUUAUUACAUAAUUAUCAAACUAAUAAUCGAAAAAAAGAUGAAUAUGCUUACCUUCAAGGUGAUCUUGAUAUUCAACUUCUUGUUCAUUUCGCAGUGUUAUGCAGCUAUACCAUGCCAGACAGUAGCUGAUUGCAAUAUUAAUUGUGGCAGCAAAGGAACUCCAAUUUGUAAAAACAACACUUGCUACUGCAACCGUUGUGAUUUAUACCCUCCAGAUGAUCCUACUGUUGAUGAUGAAUCUAGUUUUAUAAGUAAAAAUAAUUGAUUAUUAUUAUUUAUUCCGAUUACAUAUAAAAAUAUCGGUGAUGAUCCUUGAAAAAUAAUAUAACUAUAUUGGAAAAAAGGAUUUCAUUU
This is a long non-coding RNA of Solanum pennellii, 370 nucleotides long. RefSeq lists it as uncharacterized. Lineage: Eukaryota; Viridiplantae; Streptophyta; Magnoliopsida; Solanales; Solanaceae. The transcript is spliced from 2 exons. The record is from RefSeq and is a predicted model, not a curated record.